Molecule: ribosomal RNA, 465 nt
Filed under: Klebsiella pneumoniae
Lineage: Bacteria; Pseudomonadati; Pseudomonadota; Gammaproteobacteria; Enterobacterales; Enterobacteriaceae
Description: bacterial SSU rRNA
Rfam family: Bacterial small subunit ribosomal RNA
Source: RNAcentral
GUUGGGUUAGUCCCGCAACGAGCGCAACCCUUAUUUGUUGCCAGCGGUCCGGCCGGGAACUCAAAGGAGACUGCCAGUGAUAAACUGGAGGAAGGUGGGGAUGACGUCAAGUCAUCAUGGCCCUUACGACCAGGGCUACACACGUGCUACAAUGGCAUAUACAAAGAGAAGCGACCUCGCGAGAGCAAGCGGACCUCAUAAAGUAUGUCGUAGUCCGGAUUGGAGUCUGCAACUCGACUCCAUGAAGUCGGAAUCGCUAGUAAUCGUAGAUCAGAAUGCUACGGUGAAUACGUUCCCGGGCCUUGUACACACCGCCCGUCACACCAUGGGAGUGGGUUGCAAAAGAAGUAGGUAGCUUAACCUUCGGGAGGGCGCUUACCACUUUGUGAUUCAUGACUGGGGUGAAGUCGUAACAAGGUAACCGUAGGGGAACCUGCGGUUGGAUCACCUCCUUACCUUAAAGAA